GAAGGUACAGUUCCAGAUACUUGUUUACGCACAACACUAAAAUGGAAAGUGAAAGUUGAACAUCCAAUUGCUUCCUGAAAGCUGCUUCUAAAAAUAGUGUCGAACUUUGGAUAGUACAGAAGGUGAAUUUGAUUCAACAAGCCAUCCAGCUCAAUACUGGAUGAAAUGCCCUGCUUUCUCAGAGAACAACUACCUGAAGAAGACUUUGAAGAAAACUUUAACAAUACAGUAUUAGUCAGAAAAACCUUAAUCCUGUUUAGUUUUAAAAAGAGGAGCAGUAUUCUUUGGAAGACAUGGGGUUAUGCCUACAAUGAUCCUGGUAACCAACAUGCUGAAUGUUUGGUUUUGAGUAAUAUUGAACAAUUCAUCGCAGAAAAUCAGAUCAAAGGAAAAUAUAAAAUGACUUUCUUUAUGUCACACACUCCUUGCCAUAAAUGCAGUGAUAAGAUAGCAUCUUUCUUAGUUUCAAGAAAAGGGUUGUCCAUGGAAAUAAAAGCUUCAAGACCAUAUUUUUUAAAUGAAGGACGAAAAGGCCUCUAUCUUCUGAAGAGGAUUGGCGUCCUACUCAAAAUGAUGGACAGAUCUGAUUUUGAAGAAUGCUUCUAUUUAUUUGUGCACCCAUUAAAGACAUUCACUCCAUGGUCAGAUUUGGAUGAGCAAAGCAAGAAGAACAUGGAUGAUCUGGCAGCACUUUGGAAACAGGCAAUGGAUGACAAUUUUAUAGAAAAUGAAAAGAAGACAGAAGAAAAGACCAGAAAGGAAAUUAAAAUAUGUAUCCAUGACAGCACGAUCGAGUCAUUAAUCAUUUCUGAUUUUGCUGCAUCACAACUUGAUGUCGAUGAAGUUUUGGAGAGUCCAUGUGAAAUACCAGAAGUGGAAAGAUUUCAGCUAGGUCCAGAGACUCCUCAGAAGAUGACUUGCUCUGAUAAAGCAACAGAAGCUGUCCAGAGUGGUAAAAGGAAACUUGAAUUCUAGGAGAACUAGAAGGCAUGAAUAUAGGUUUUCCUCUUAGAUCUUCACUUUGUCAUUAGCCUGCAACAAAGUGCUGAUCCGGUAUUUCUUCCUCUUCCUCCCAUUCUCCUCUUCCUCCUUAAUUGAUAUCCUGGCUUUCUCCUUAUUUCCUAUGCUGAGUGCUGGCGUUUGAAUGUCUUUGAUAUAGGGAUUAGUUCUUGGACUUUUGAGUCGUACAGGUUUGCCAUCUUUGUCAGUGCAAACAUUGGGUCACUUCUGAAACUUCUAGAAGCCAUAUGUACAAAUGUUGAAAACAGCUAUCCAAAUGGAAUGUUACUCCAAAUGGUAUGUAACUGCAGUGUCUAAAAUAUGGAAUGUUAGUAUAUUUACCUCUUGAUGUAAACAUUACUUUUCUGCAAUACAACUCCCAGAAUCUGUCAGGAAGACACUCAAAUAUACAAAUUGGUGGGGGGGGGGGGGGGGCUUUCCUGGAGCAAACAUACUAAUUUUUCCCCAAUAGUAAAAUCUGGGGCAAAUCUGGGGCCUUAGAGGAAUUCUAAAGAGGUGUAUAGGCUUCUGAAACAGAUCUAUGGGCCAUAGUCUAGCCCGUAGUUUCCCACCUCUUUGAAAUCUCUGCUUCUUUGUUGAAUUAGAUUUCUGCAACUUCCAAGCCAAACGCUGCUUGCAAACCUAUGUUCUAUGCCCUGCUAAGAUUCCAAUUUCUUGUUGCUAUUAUUGUUUGAAAUCCUAAACUGGCAACAGUUUUUAUCAAGCCCCUGGCAGGUAAGCUGAUGAGAAUUAUUUUUUUGAAAUCGUGUAACUCGCCGUAUGAAUCAGCUGCACUGGCUACUGGUUCAUUUUUGGGCAGAAUUUAAAAUUCUGGUUUUGAGCUUUAAAGCCCUACACAACUUGGGUCUGGACUAUCUGAAGGCCCAUUCCACACAGCUGAAUAAAAUCCCACAUGUUCUGCUUUGGAAUAUAUGGCAGUGUGGACUCAGAUAUUGUGGGAUUUUUCUGCCUUGAUAUUCUGGGUUAUAUGGCUGUGUGAAGGGCCCUGAAUCUCCUCAUACAAGACAGUACAAGUGUGAACAUUUGCAGAGGAAGGCAUUCUCCCAGGUCCCUUUACAAUGCCAUAUAAUAUCCAGAUUAUCUGCUUUGAACUGGAUUAUAUUAUAUAGAAGAGCCCUAAAAACAUGGCUAUGUGCUCAGGCCUUUAACCAAUAAACAACAAAGAUGACCUGGACUGUUUUAUGGCUAAAGCAUGAGGAUUGUGGAUGAACGGAUUUAACCAUAUGUAUUAUAUUUUUAUAUUGUAUUGUUUUUAAUGGAUUUUAUAUAUUGUUAUGAUUUUAACUAUGUGUCGGCAUUGAAUUGUUGCCAAUUGUGUAAGCCGCCCUGAGUCCCUUCGGGUGAGAAGGGCGGGAUAUAAAUGUAAAUAAAUAUAUGGCAGUGUAGAAGGGGCCUCAGUCUCACCAGCUUUACAGAACCAUUUGAUGAAGACUUGGGAGAGAGUCUGUUCCGUGGCUGCUCCCAGCAAACUCCCUCCCACAGGAAGUCCAGUUGGCCCCCUCCUUGAACUUUUUCUGCUGGGAGGUGAAGACAUUUUUGUUUAGACAAGCUUUUGAAGUAUAAAUUUUAACUAUGGAAUUCUAGUGUGUAAGAGAGUGAUGUGUAUUUUAAAGUUAUGCUUUAGGUGUUUUAACGGUGUUAAAUCCUAUUUUAAUAAUUAUGAUAUUUAAUUUACUUUAACUUUUGUAAUUAUGCUUUAGCUAUAUCUUUUAAAAAAUAUUGUAAGCAGCCUGAAUCCCAGUUUGGAAGAAAGGUAGGGUACAGAUUAUUAAGGAUUUAUGAUGACAAGUGGAAGCUCUUAUGUGUGCCCGCGAUCCAGAAUCAUCCGCAGAACAAUAACAUGCCACAAAGGUUUGCAAAACAAAAAUACAGGAACUUUACUAAUUCCAAGACAUAAAAAAGUAGUAUAUACAAUGGUCCCUCUGAUCACUUACAGAAGUCUACUACGGUCAUAAUCAGCCCUUUCUCGGUCCACAAAUCAAUCCCCAGGUCUUUGCAGACUCAGCCAAUUGGCUUCAUGCACUUUAUUUUCCAGUUAAUACACACACAGCACAGUGCCUUUGCAAACCAUGACACAAAUUUGAUAGAUAGAUAGAUUGAUAGAUAGCUUUUAUCAUAUUUUGUAAAUUGCUUAUAAUCAAGAUGGAAACAGCAUGAGAUCUAAAUAGACUGAAUAACAUCAGGAACCUAAGCUGAUAUUUUCAUCCAUUGAGUCCCAGCUUUUCUGCGCAUCACUCUUCAGAGUGGACACUUGUAUAUUUAUGUAUUCAACAUUCUUGCUGUCAUAGACAGAACGCCACCAAAUAGAGUACAACACAGUUUAUUAAAGUUACAGAACUAAAAAAUGCCCGUAGGAAGCAAAGGACUAGGCAAACACUUGUCUUCAGUGUGAAAAGUAACAGAAACAGCUCCGUUUGAAUUAAAACGGUUCGAAAGGAUAAACCGGAUUAAACAGGAGUUUAAUCCGGGUUAAAGCAAAAGUGCUUACUUCAGCCUGACAAUUUAAACAAACAAAAGUUGGUAAACAGAGGUCAAAAUGAACACAAAAACUGGCAGCAGAUUCCUCUCUGCUACUCAAAAGCUACAGAUGAGUAACUCAGGCUGUUUACUCCUCCGUGCAACGAGCGAAAUCCGGGUCCAGGCACAUCAAUCAGGGUAACGGCGGUCAGCAGGGUCCCAAUCCGGUCGAAGGUCGAAAGCCAAGUGCAGACGUCUAAAGUUCCACAAGUUCCACCGAUAGCCACAGAAGGGAUAGUCCAAGGUCGUAGUCAGUCAGUCAGUCCAGCGUCAAUCCAGAGUAGGUAAUUAAUGUCCGUCAAAAAGACGACGGAGGUCCAAGCUAUCAAGAUUAAACACAAGUUGCACAGAAAAACCCCACACAGUUCCUCCCGCCGUCUAUGCCCAGUGUCCUUGGUAACUUACGUAUCCAGCAACGAAUCACACCCGUCUUCAGGAAGUUCCCCAACAAGAGCCCAAGCGUUCGUCCAGAUUACCUUGCCCAACGCAAUUAGCCAUUGAUCCUAAACCCCAUUUUAUCCCAGUUCAUAACUCCUCAUCGCUGUCAGCUGCUAUCCUAAUUCCAGGUGCCUCCUCAUCAUCAUCCUCAUCAGAGCUAAAACACCUUUGACUACACCCCACAGCAUCCCCAGCUGUGGAUCCCGCUCCAUCCCUCCAGCCCGUCCAUGGGUCUGAUCCUGCAACCCGCCAAUCGCCUCCCAUGUUAUCAUUGCCGGUGACACCCAAAUCCUCCCUCACACGAGUCCACUCCAUGUCAUCCUCCUCUGAGCUAACCAUCUCUUCCUCCAUUCCCUCGGUAAAACCCUCAAAUGAGUCUUCAUCUGUUGGUUCAUCUGUUGGUAUUUUGCACAGUAUUCAAGACAGCUAUGUAUUAUUUUAAUGCUUUUAAAUAAAGGUGUGAGACUUACCAGAAAAGUCUGAAAAGUGAUUGAUUUCUGAAUAAAUCUGGGAAUUUCCCUAUCUCUUUUGCUAUGGGUAAAUUAUGGAGAUUAAUAGAAAAUAUAAGUGCUUAUUCCUGAUGCAAGGAAAUCUAUAACAUUUCCUAGUAAAUUACCAGAAAUGAUUGGGGCAGGAAGUGUGCUUUGGAUAUUUACCAGGGUUGCAAGAGUCAUUGUCAGCUCUCCUGAAAAACCAGUUUCCUUGGCCUUUGCCUCACCAUAACUGUCAUCCAGGAGGUAUUCCUUUGGGUUACAUAAAGGGCAAGCAAAACCACACAACUGUUCCAUUGAGAGAACGGCAGUGUUUCGUCCCUUUCUCUGACCCCCCCCCCCUUUUUUUUCAAUUUGCUUGUGAUAGGAGUACUAAUACUAUUUGGCCGCACUGCAGUGUAGCUGUUGCAUUACACAUGGGGACCUAUUUGCCCAUUGGUAUUUCACUAUAACCACUAUGGUGGUAUCCUAUGGAAUCCUGAGGUUUGUAGUUUUUUAAAGUACAAGAGAAGCUCUCUGGCUCAGAAUUAUAAAUGUCCCUAAACUGUCAAUCCCAGGAUUCCAUACAAUGAAACCAUAGUGGUUAAAAUCGAAUAACAAUACUAUAAUUCCGUAAUAUAAAUGGGCACUCAAGUCAUUAUAAGAACUUUUGUAACAUUUUAAGAAUUGGUAAUCUGCAUGUUUUCAUAUACCUUUUCUCUCUCCAUGCCCUUUUCAUUUUGUGUUGAGUCUUUUUAGAUUGUUUGCUUGUUUGUCAAGAAUGUCUAUAUGGUUUUAAUCAAUGAUAAACAGGGAAAGAAAUAUUGGAUUUAGACCACACAUUUAGCCUUGGUAUCUCUAACCAGUAGAUGUCAGAAAACAUUGUGGGGGAGAACAUUUAGGACAUUUAAUACCACAGGCACACUAUAGAAGAUUUGUCAUUCUAAUUCUUAUGAUGUGUCAGAUGGCUAAUGCUGCAUGUUGUGAACUAAGCAAAGAAAUAAUGCUUUCAAGCAGAAGAUUUAUUUGAUUUAAUAAAAACCGUUUACAUACACUUGGAAAAAAAUCUUCCUGAAGUCAAUAAAAACCCCUUCUAAAGAAAUGUAUGCAGGAUUAACCAUUGCAAAAAUCUUGGGUUUAUGGAUGUUUGUAAAAGAUAGAUAGAUAGAUAGAUAGAUAGAUAGAUAGAUAGAUAGAUAGAUAGAUAGAGAUAGAUAGUUCCUAGAAUGCCAUGCUAGGGUGAUGGUAGGUUAAGACCGGGAAUGUGUUUUUUUGCUCUUUUAUGUUAUUGCUUUAUAUGAUUGAAUGUUUUAUACUAUUUGUAUUGCUUAAUUUAUUGUAUUGUGUGGCAUUUAAUAUUUGCCUUUUUAUGUUGUAAGUCAUCCUGAAUCCCCACAGGGAAAUGGGGCAGAAUAUAAAGAAAGUUUGUUGUUGUUGGAAGAAGAAGAAAGCAUACAAACGUGCAUGAUGUGUUAACUACAAGAGUAAUAAUUAUUGUAAAUAACAUGUACUGCUUUUUGUUUUGAUCUAUUUUUUUCAAAAACAAACAAAUUUUCCAGAAUAUGUUGCCACAGAUCCAGGCAUCAUCCAUUUGUAAAAUACUCAUGCUAGAUAUUCCUUUGGCUGCUUAGUGACAUAAUUUGAGACUCAGCUAGAAGAGUGGUGAGGAAUGUAGAACUCUCCAGUUGUAGCUCCUCAAAGGUUUUAUGAGUUGUCAAAGACUACAUCUAUUUUUGCGGUUGGCAAAUUAGAGAGACCUGGCUUUCUUUUGAGUGUUGACCUAAAAAUCAGGGAGACCAGGGAUCAAAUCUAUGCUCAGCUAUCAAAUCCAAUUGGAUGACAUUGGAUAAGUCACACUUUCUCAGCCUCAGAGGAAGGCAAUGGCAAGCCCUCUCAGAAAAAUCUUGUUGACAAAAUCCUGUGAUAGGGUUGCCUUAGAGUUAUUAUAAAUCAAAAACAACUUGAAGGUACACAACAAUAAGAACAAAAGCAGUUUGCAAUGUACUUUUUGUUGUGACUCAGCUAGAGCUUCAGAGUGAUUCUGAUGGGGAUUAUGAGAUUCAGGUUCAAGAUGAUGAGAUUCAGGUUCAAGAUUACUCUGAUGGGAAUUAUGGGAUUCAGGUUCAGAGUGUUCUUGCUGUGGCAGAUGAGGAACAGAGAGGCUUUCCCAUGGCAGGGAAUGGUGUUGAUGAUUCUGAAGGUGAUACUGAAGCUAGCCAGGUGCAAAGGGAGGACAGCUCCCAGUCUGAUAGCACGCAGACAGACGCUAAUGCUAAUGAGCUGUCUGGCCUUGAUGAAACAGAAUCUUUGGAUAGAGCUGGCCAUUUGGAAUUCAGGAUUCGCAGGAGUGCUGGAAUAGCAAACAAGAGGGAGGUUAGAGGCCAAAGAAAUGUGUUCAUGCUAUGCAACGGGUAUUAAAAGAGUGUACUGAGAGAGGAAUCUUUGUCAAAGCAACUUCUCGUUUGAGUCAAGUAGCCAGCUCUUGCUUUCUCGGAUUAUCUUGCAGCCUUGGUGUAUUCAUGUUCUUGGGACCUUGUCAUGCAUUUAUGGAACCUUGUUUUAUGGCUAACGUUUUCUUGGAUUAUUCUUUAUAGCCUUGUUUUGCAACAAUCUUUUGGAACUUUACUUUUGCUUUUUAAGAACUAUUAUUUUCCUAUUUCCUAAUAAACUACAGAAGACUUCAACCUGUCUAUAGCCUGGUGUAUUUAGCAAGGUGAAGCUAACCUGAGGUGAGACACUUUUAUGGAAAGAAUGAGACACAUAAUAGGGAUGUUGCGGUCCUUGAGAUCUGCUGGGGAGGCCCUCCUCUCACUCCCGCCGCUGUCCCAAGCAAAGUUGGUGGGGACGAGGGAGCGGGCCUUCUCAGUAGUGGUGCCCCGGCUCUGGAAUGCCCUCCCUAGGAGAUUAGGUUGGCCCCUACUCUGCAUUCCUUUUGUAAGGAACUCAAAACCUGGUGGUUUCAGUAGGUGUUCGAAUGAAUCCAUUCUGGUUAGCCCACCGACUUUGACCUGAUAAAUACUGCAUAGUCUCAUCUUUCCUGAUUAUGAACCAUGUUUAACCUAUGAGAUUAUGGACCCUCGCCCCCCGAUAGGAACCUGUUGUGAUUAUCAUUGAUUGCUAUUUUUAUUGUAACAUUUUAUUUUGUGUAAUAAUCUGUUUUUAUAUGGUUAUGUAUUGUAUGUAUUAUAUUGUAUGCUGUGUAUUACUGUUGUAAACCACCCUGAAUCCCUUCUGGGAGAUAGAGCAGUAUAUAAAUAAAGUUUUAUUAUUAUUUAUUAUUUAUAAAAUCUCCAGACUUUUAGGACUUGGUCUGCUGGAGUGUAGGCCAAUGUGUUCCAACCUACAUAUGAUGGAUUACUUAUUAAUCCAAAUACUUUAGUCACUUUAAGGAGAUAACAGACAGCUUGGGCAUAUAAACACUCUUAAAACAAUGGAUGACUACUAGCACAGGAUAACUGUCUAUUGUGAUGACAUCCAAUUAGCUAACCCCUAAAAAGUUCAUUCUGCAAUAACUUCCAAAAAGCCAACUUUUCCUCUUAUGCUCCCAUGCUCAUUCCAGCCUCACACAUUUCUCUUUACACCAAGUGUGUCAAACCCAUUUUCAUCAAGGGUCACAUCAGCCUCAUGGUUGCCUUCAAAGGGCCAGUUGUAAUUAUAAGACUAUAUAAAUGUAACUAUGUUGCUCUGGCAUUGAAAGCUUUGUGGGCCACUCACAAUGAUAUGAUAGGCCAGAUUCAGCCUACAGGCUCACCGUUAAACAUGUGUACUUUACACUAAUGGAACUACUCUUCCGGAAUUAUUGAAAUCAAUAACACUUUUUUAAAAUUACACAUAGGAAAGAAAAUUUAUACUUCUAUAAUCAUAAAUCCAAAGUUGGAUCACAAUUACUCAAAGUCUGAAAGUACUGGAAUUCUAUUAGUGGGCUUGUGCUGGUGUGAAUACCAUUAUGCAUGCAAUUAUAGGAGGUAGUCUAAGUAUGUUAUGCUAACCAAAGUUGUACCAUGCUACAGAAUUUAUUUAUUAUUUAUUUACUCCAUUUAUAUCCCGCUCUAUCUCAUCCCAAGGGAGACUCAGAGCAACUUACAUCUUGGCAAAAUUCAAUGCCACAUACACAUACAAAAAGUAAUACAUAACAUAAUUCAACUAAAAUCAAUAAACAUAUAAAUACAAAUUAAAACCAUCAAACAUGUUGAACACAUUAAACUUCCCCCAAGUUUUUAUGAUAGAACCCAUUAGGAAAUGACAUAGAUAACUCAGGA
Molecule: RNA transcript, 8704 nt
Organism: Anolis carolinensis (green anole)
Lineage: Eukaryota; Metazoa; Chordata; Lepidosauria; Squamata; Anolidae
Exons: 4
Source: RefSeq, a predicted model, not a curated record